Long non-coding RNA from Nycticebus coucang (slow loris), 1160 nucleotides. RefSeq lists it as uncharacterized. Lineage: Eukaryota; Metazoa; Chordata; Mammalia; Primates; Lorisidae. The record is from RefSeq and is a predicted model, not a curated record. The transcript has 6 exons.
CUGACAUGUCCAGUUUAGUACUAACUGCCCUGCCUUGGUGCGAAGGCCACUGGUGGAGGGAUGUAGUAUGACAUUGCCAAGGAUCUCAGGUGUCAGAACUUGUGCCAGGAGUUGCUGCAAAUCUAAAUAGAACGCAGCCCCCUCCCUGAACAGAAGUAUAACACACACAGACUCACACAUCAAACAAAGUACCGUGGCAUCACUCUCGGGUCUCCAAUCAAUCACCUGUAUGUUCUGAAUCCUUGUGAUUUAUGACUGAACAACUGGUUGACCAGAUCCAGAGUCAACAGUACCGUGGCCUGAGAUGACUUCUCUCCUUCUAGUAGGGGAAAUGCUGCUGUAUAAAACAGAAGUCUUACUCUACAAGCAGUUUUUCAAAUGUGAAUUAUCACUGCAAAUAAUCUUUUGAUAACAGAGUCUCACUAUGUCGCCCUUGGUAGACAUAGCAUCACAGCUCACAGCAAUCUUAAACUCUUGGGCUCAAGUGAUUCUCUCGCCUCAGCCUCCCAAGUAGUUGGGACUACAGAUGCCCUCCGCAAUGCCUGGCUAUUUUGUUGUUGCUGUUGUCAUCAUUGUUUUAGCUGGCCUGGGCUGGGUUCAAACCCGCCACCCUCUGUUUAUGUGGCUGGUGCUGUAACCACUGUGCUAUAAGCACUGAGUCAAAACUUCUUGUCUAUAGACAUAGAAAUGAAUUUUUUCUGGUAGAGGGACGACACUCACUGGCUCCUCCUCCCACCUCCUCCCCCAGGCAGAAGCAGUUUGCGGCCAUGUCCACAUUCAUUUCAAUGUUUUUUACUCUAUGAAAGUUUGUGCUGCUUUGACUUCUCCUUUGAACCAAUUGCUUGGUUUCUCCGCUUAGUUAAUGAGUUAAAUAAAAUCUUUAACACAUGUCUAUUCUAUAUUUAGAGAUAAACAGAGCGAAUCAUGAAAGUCAUGAUUUUGCUUCUUUUGAAAAUAUCUUUUGGGCAGCACCUAUGACUCAAAGGAGUGGGGCGCUGGCCCCAUAUGCCAGAGGUGGCAGGUUCAAACCCAGCCACGGCCAAAAACAAAACCAGGAAAAAAAAAAAAAGAAAGAAAAUAUCUCUUAAUACCACAAACAUAAGAUUCCAAGAGUAAGUAAAAAUUUAGAAAGUUUUGAAUACUGGAUAGGAAAGAAAGUC